RNAcentral lists this small RNA (639 nucleotides) under Oryza sativa Japonica Group (Japanese rice). RNAcentral describes it as "sRNA Os01g0117050". Lineage: Eukaryota; Viridiplantae; Streptophyta; Magnoliopsida; Poales; Poaceae. The record is from RNAcentral.
GCAUGCUUGUAAUCUAUGGCGGUCAACUUGUAUGGCCUUCCAAGGUAUUUGUUAUGUAGGAUGGUAUAUUGGCCAGAGCAUGAUAGCUUCAUGCAUGGCACGCCACAUGACGAUGGUGUAUUUUUGGAUUCAAGUUUGAAAGGGAACCUGAUCUCGGGGCCAUGCUCGCCGCACCUCGACGGCGGGCAGUAGCUGAAGAAAUCCUUGUCUUCCCACGCUGACACUGACGCUGCUGUGUGCAGGUUGAGAAGAAGGCUCAACACCAGGAGGGUUGCUGCAAGAAAUCCUCUCAUCCUAUUUUCUGUAUGCACUGUGACAGGCAGGCGAGAUGGAGACGAUCCAACAAGUAAGCAAGGCAGGGCAAUGUUGCGUUGCGUCGAGUUAAAAGAUGGACACCACUAUACCACAGUGUAGUACCCGGCCGGAAGCUGCCUGCAGUCUAGUGAAUCGCAGCAGCAUCCAUCCUGCCGUGUGGAAAAAGACCUAUAGGUAGAUCUUUUGAGGGUUUGCUUGGUUAGCUUAGCUGGACCUGUUAUCUGUCUGGGAAAGGGUUUAUUUGUAGAAACCCUCAAACAUCUGGCAAAUGCUCAUUUCUCUUAAUGGAAAUGGGGGAGCUUGGCUCUCCUACUUUAUUGGAUC